Long non-coding RNA from Oncorhynchus tshawytscha (Chinook salmon), 648 nucleotides. NCBI's taxonomy places the organism in Eukaryota, Metazoa, Chordata, Actinopteri, Salmoniformes, Salmonidae. The record is from Ensembl.
CAGCUCGUCAGUCCACCUCCCACCCGAGUCUCCCCUUUACAAUCCACACAAUGUCAUUCUGUAACGUAGACUCUGCCACUUACAUCAGGUUUAGGAUAUGUAGGCGUCAGAUUCCCAGUGGCAUCAUGGGAAAACUGAACAAAGCUUUUGGAUAAAAACUCUCUGAUGACAAAAGAAGAAAUACACUGAUCACUCCACAAUAAUAGAAUUGUGUGACCUUAAGGUCAUCACUAGUACGUAAGGUCAUUACUAGUACGUAAGGUCAUUACUAGUACGUAAGGUCAUCACUAGUACGUAAGGUCAUCACUAGUACGUAAGGUCAUCACUAGUACGUAAGGUCAUCACCAGUACGUAAGGUCAUCGCCAGUACGUAAGGUCAUCGCCAGUACGUAAGGUCGCUAGUACGUAAGGUCACUACUACGUAAGGUCAUUGCUAGUACGUAAGGUCAUUGCUAGUACGUAAGGUCAUUGCUAGUAUGUAAGGUCACUAGUACGUAAGGUCAUCACUAGUACGUAAGGUCAUUGCUAGUACGUAAGGUCAUUGCUAGUACGUAAGGUCAUUGCUAGUAUGUAAGGUCACUACUACGUAAGGUCAUCACUAGUACGUAAGGUCAUCACUAGUACGUAAGGUCAUCACUAGUACGUAAG